RNAcentral lists this ribosomal RNA (774 nucleotides) under uncultured Neocallimastigales. RNAcentral describes it as "partial large subunit ribosomal RNA". It matches the Rfam family "Eukaryotic large subunit ribosomal RNA", at positions 22 to 649 of the family's 3401-position model. Lineage: Eukaryota; Fungi; Neocallimastigomycota; Neocallimastigomycetes; Neocallimastigales. The record is from RNAcentral.
GUACACGCUGUGACUAGCAUAUCAAUAAGCGGAGGAAAAGAAACUAACAAGGAUUCCCUUAGUAACGGCGAGUGAAGCGGGAAGAGCUCAAAUUUGAAAUCUUGAAAGGUCACCUUUCACGAAUUGUAGUUUAAAGAAGUGUUUUCUGUUACGAUCGUAAUAUAAGUUCUUUGGAAUAGGACAUCACAGAGGGUGAGAAUCCCGUCUAUGAUUGCGAUUUGUAGCUUUGUGAUACACUUUCAAAGAGUCGGGUUGUUUGGGAAUGCAGCCCAAAACGGGAGGUAAAUUUCUUCUAAGGCUAAAUAUUGGCGAGAGACCGAUAGCGAACAAGUACCGUGAGGGAAAGAUGAAAAGAACUUUGAAAAGAGAGUUAAACAGUACGUGAAAUUGUCAAAAGGGAAGCGUUUGACACCAAUGUUGUUUUCUCGAAAAUCAAUUAAAAAUGGCUCGAUUUUGUAUUGCUGAGACCUUAAAAGCUCACUGUACAUUUUUCGUGUCUUUUUUAAUGCACUUUUCGUUUAACAAGUCAACAUCAGUUUCUUUUGUUGUAAAAGGGUCAUUGGAAGGUGGCUUUCUUCUCGGAGAAAGUGUUUAUAGCCUUUGGCCUCUGCAAUCGAAGAGACUGAGGUCUGCAGCGUAGACUCUUCGGGGUUAGAUACAUUUGUGCUAAGUUAUAGCUUUUUAUAGACAACUUGUUGACUAUAAUUAGUCUUGUAGCUUACUCGCUUAUGCUAUUUUACCUACGCUUAGGAUGUUGAGUAGCGACAUACGCAC